Molecule: non-coding RNA, 2040 nt
Organism: Tetranychus urticae (two-spotted spider mite)
Lineage: Eukaryota; Metazoa; Arthropoda; Arachnida; Trombidiformes; Tetranychidae
Source: RefSeq, a predicted model, not a curated record
AAUUGAGAUGCCACAACAUUCUAUGAAUAAGCGAUCAUAAGACACACAUUUUCACAAAAUGACACAACCAGAACGUCGCCAUCUUACGCAAAAAUAAGUUAAUUAAAAGAAAGAGUUAGCUUUUCCCUUUCAACUUUAAUCUCAACGGUUAAAAUGGUGCUGCAAGUCUUUUAGUAUCUCUAUCAGUAAGUUAACAGUUUAAUUUUAGUUAAUGAUUUCAUUGGACCUUUAAUGACUCAAACAUGGAAAAUCCUGUGAAUUAUCAGAAACAAUGGCAAAAAAAUUGGUUAAGGUGACCCAAAGAUGAGAAAUAAUGAAAACCAAUCAAGCAGAUGAAAGGGGUUCAUAAUUUUUGGUACAAUUUUGGCCCACGACAAAGGAUUGCCUGUUUCCUAUUCAACAAUACAUUUAUGCUAAUUUACCUGAUCUGCGUAUUUAUGUCCAUUGGGGUGUGAAGAAUCAGCUCGACUUAUGCUUCCAUCAAUGUCAAUGAAACCAUCAUGAGACCAAUAACUGUGAUCAUAUGUAAAUUUUUUAGGUGCAUCUCGAUGAUUAUUUGGAUUAUACAGGACGGUUGUAUUGGACUCCAUAUCCACAAUACAUUUGGCAUUUCGUUGUUUCUCUCGUUGAUUGUGUAAAAGUGAGUUAAGGAACGUUUGGUUGUAAUUUGAAUUUCUUAAAACUACUGUUAACUCUUGACAUGAACAUGCAGUUAUAAUUAAGGUGUUGCAUUUCGAUAUAACAUGGUGCAGUUAGAUGAUAUUGCAUGGAUAUGUGCAUAAACAAUGGGUGAUGUUAAACAUAGCUGGCCAAACAUUGUAAUCAGUAAUUGACUGUCAGUAAUUUGUUAUUGGCGUGAAAAGUAAUCAAUAUAUUGAAACUUGGCUACUGGAAAGGGUGAAAACAAUCAACCAGGCUGACAACAAUCAAGACUCGUUAAUAAUAACAUGUAAAAAUAAUUAAGUAGAUUCCAUCAAAAAAGCUUAGGUAAUAUCUAGCCAUAGUUUAAAUGAUAAUACAAAUGACAAUAAAAAGUAGAAGCAAGAAUAUGAAAAGCUAAUCAGAUUAACAUGAAACAUUAGUGUUUUAAAGAUUCUCACGCAAUCACGAUAGAAUCAGAAUCAUUAUGGUUUGCUUGUUAUCAUGCUGAAAUCAAUUUAUCAACAAAGUUUCACUUUUACUGAAUAAAAUUUUCAACUACAUUAAUUCAUUUCACAAUUGAGAACAGAUCUAACAUUUUUAUUGUCAAUGCAAGGUUAAAAACUGACAAAAUUUGUAUCAUUGCCAUUAUAGUUAGUCAUGAAACAUCAUGAGUUUCCAUGAAACAACGAAACUGUUAACAUUGAACGUUAUAAGAAUAAAUUCAAUGUUAUUUACACCAUUAAGAUGAUGUUAAAACAGCUGAUCACUAUGAUAACCAGUUUAGAUUGAUAGUGUGACGUUGACCUGAGGUUAAAUACAUGAAAUGAUUGUUGUUUAUUUAUCUAUGGAUUUUAAUUGUAAUCUGAAUAAAUUAUUUGCAAUAAAUGUCUUGAGCAAUCAGAGCAUAACCAUUAGUAUUAGGAUCCAUUAAUUUUUGGACUCAACAAGCAAACAUAACAACUAAACCAGGUUAAAUCUGUUUUGUUGAUCAAUCAUUUCCACCUUUAACUGAUCAGCUUUGUUUUACCUGAAAAAUAAACCAUCUAAUUAAUGAGCUAAAUAUGUUUCCCAAUCAAGAUCCUAACUGAUGAAAUCACAUUUAACCAUUAAAUGAUUAACCCAUUUCAACUGAUCAACAAUAAGUUUAUUGAUAUCUUUCGACUUUUAUUAUUUUAAUGAUUAAUCUUGCUCAACUACAAUAAUGAACAACUCAGAUAUUCAUAUCAAAUCCUUGUAAAGAUCGUAAAUGAAGCUGUUAAAAUUAAACUGUUAUCGUUAAUGUUCAUUCAUCUAAAUGUCAAUGUAUUCAUGAAUAAUAGACAAACAUGGAAUUGUGUUGUAGCUAAAGGCAACAAAUUGCAUCUCAAUCAAUAAAAUUUGAUAUUUACUAUUAAAAAU